This is a long non-coding RNA of Andrographis paniculata, 3398 nucleotides long. RefSeq lists it as uncharacterized. The record is from RefSeq and is a predicted model, not a curated record. NCBI's taxonomy places the organism in Eukaryota, Viridiplantae, Streptophyta, Magnoliopsida, Lamiales, Acanthaceae. The transcript has 11 exons.
UGCUGCUUCUCGCCUUCAGCGCCAACACCUCGACUUCGCGCCUCAGCACGAAGCAAUCCUCGCCGUUGAUUGCCUUCUCCCCGAUGCAGAUAGCGUUGGAGAACAGAUUCGCCGUCAGCCGCGGAUCAAGCCCCUGUUGGAUCGCCGGAGGGGACGAGGGGGGCCGCGGGAGGCGUGGGAGUUUUGCCAGGGGGUCUGCCGCCACGCAACCUUUCCGUUGCUUCCGGCGCUUAUUUUGCAGCCGGAGAGGAUCAUUUCUAGGCUCCAUAAAUCAGGCCUUUGCUGCCACAGAACGAAUCCGCCGACGUGUCCGGCGCCGGACUUCAUAUUCUUUGUCUUCGCCGCCCUCGAAUUCUUGACACCAUUGUCGGCUCCUCCCACGAAUUCAGAUGCCGCCAUUCUCACCUUCCCCAUUACAUACAUACUGUCGAUGGAAUCGAGGGCGUGUUCUCCGCCGGCUGCUGCGAUGUACUGCUGCACUAUGUAUUUAGCCAUGGCGCUCUCCUGCAAGUGCACCGGAAAUUGUACGAUCGGCUUUAAUUGGUGACGGAAUCAGCGGAGCCCCGACGACUCCCAGCAGGAGCUGGACCUCUGCCAUAGCAGCGGCGGCGCCGCUUCUCUCCACCACCUGUGGCGACGCCGCCAUCCAGGCCUUCAGAUUCUGCCACGAUUUAUUACUUCCCUUGUCCGAGACAAACAUUUCCUCCGGGAUCGGAACCUCCAGCACCGUCUCCAGCGCGUCUUCCCUGUCCACAUUCCGACACAAUGUCCUCAUCGGAAAACCAGGUUUGAUUUCUUCUUUUCUUUUUCGCUAAAAGUUUUGAUGUAGGAAUUAACAAGUGGAGAGAAUCCAGAUGCAAUCUUGGCCCUGGAUUUAUACAUACAUUCGAUCGAGGAGAUUAAUGUAACAGUGAUGAAAAAGACGACGACCAUGGGCCGCCACCAACGUGGGAGACUUUGUCUGUGUCGUCGUGAAGGCACGCUGCUCUGUCAAUGGCGGAUACCGACAAUCAUGGCGUUUGUCUUCGAGGGGACAAAGGGAUCGAAUUUUAUGCCCAAUGUUUUUCCGGUACAUCACUUCUAUCAAGCAAAGCUGCGGCGGCGACCGACAUCUUAACCUGGUCUGUUCAGAUGCUGCCACGUGUCCCAGAUUGACGGCUGAACUAACGCCCCUCAAUCAUGCCAUGCACGUUCGCCUUGCUUGCUGAUGUGGGGGACGUACUCGCCAAGGAAGCCGGACGGAAGAAGGCAUCAGACGCGCAGGAAGUAGCCUGGAACUUUGUUGUUUCUAUUGGAGGAAUGGAGGAGGAAUCCACCAAGGAUGGAAUAACAAAGGAUGUAUCAAACGAGAACGGAGAAUCGAAGGAUGUAACUGCGUUGGUCGGAGGAACGAAGGAUGUAUCCAAAGAGAACGGAGAAUCGAAGGAUGUAACUGCCUUGGUCGGAGGAACGAAGGCUGUAUCCUCCGAGAACGGAGUAUUGAAGGACGUAGCUUCCCCUGCCUGGCUGCCUUGGUCGGAGGAACGAAGAGCGGAGGAUUGAAGAAUGUAUCAACUGCGGACGGAAAAGAGGAGGACGAAUCAACCCUGCACGGCUUUGAGCGAGAGGAAAAUGUAUAAAAUCAAGCUCGGGGGAACAGUUAGACCUCACCAGCGCCACUUCUUCCUUUGCCACAGGACUUAUGAAACCUGGCCAGUAUGGUUCAAUCAGAAGUCGGCCGAUCUGCUCCCUCAGCUGUUUACCAAUGAGCACCAAAUGGCCCUGAGAAAGGCUCCUAUAGAGAACCGCCUGGCUAUAUGCCAGAGAAAUAAACAUGCGAGGAUCUACGAUGGAGAUGUCCUCAUAUUUCCUGACAUGCACGUAUACAGGCGGCUGAAACCCUCACAAAUCAGAGGAUUUGUAGAUGAAGUGAUGAUUAGGGGCAAGAGAUGGUCAUCGGGGGAGUUGGAAGAGUUGACUGGUUCAUACAUCUUUAUAUGUACUCGUAAACUUCGAGAUAGAAGAUUUGGUGCUUGCGGCCCAGCAUUGAUAAAAAAGCUCAACGAAGUGAUUAAAGCCAAGGAUUUGAAGCGUAGGGUGUUUGUGAUUGGGUGUUCACACACAGGAGGAAACAAGAAUGCAGGCAAUGUGAUUAUUUUCAGUCCUAAUUCUCAGGGAAAAGAUUGCUGGCAAUUGGUGAGACCAAGAUUUUUAUUUUUAAGGAUUCAUGUUAGGUGUUAUUCUGCAAGGAGAUCAUAGAUGAUUAAUUCUUUCUCUAAUUACUACGCAAGUAUGGAUACGUCAACACAUAAGGAUGUUGUUGAAUUAGUCGAGGAACAUAUCUUAAAGGGUGAAAUCGUCGAUAGGCUUUGGAGGGGCCAAGUGGACACUAGUCCCGGAAAAUCUGAUGACUCAGGUAAGGCCUUGUUUGAUAGCCACAACCUAUGAAAAAGAGAUGCCUCCGGAAUUGCGGUUAUUAUGUCGGGCAUUGCUUCAGCUGCAGCUGCUACUAUUGCUACUUUUGGCAUCUACCGAAGAAGAAGAAGAAGAAGAAGAUAAGCUCAUGGGACUCCUGACGACAAUCUCUAAAAUUGUGGUGCGAAUAGAUCAUUCCCUCAACCCCUCACCAAUGCCAAAACAAGAAUUCGCCAUUCUUGCAAAAGCAUAUCAGCCAGUGACGACAACGCAGACAUUGCACGUGGGAAUAAAACCAUCCCGGGGAGGCGACAACGACCAAAAGGGGCUGCUGUCCUUCAAAGGCAAUAUCAGCUAAAGCCGCAAAAUAUGCUCUGUCUGCACGCACAUGUAGUCAAUCAUUUCUUGCCCGGUCCCGGACAAAAACAACCACAUACAUGAAAUGAUGCUGACAAAAGAUGUCUGACUCAAUCGGGGCGAAGGAAAAAGAAAAAGUGAUACUGUGAAGCACACUAAGCAGAAGCAGCAAAGCUGCAGGCCAGAUAAGUAUUUUUUUUUAUGAUUUAUUUAUUUUUUAUGGAAUUUGUAACAAGAAAACUAGGUCCCACAAAGCACUAUGUAAGAAGGAAAAGGGAUAGUGAGAUAGUUAGUGGAUGGAUCAUCAAAAUCAAAUUCAAGAUCCAUGCAAUCUUGUGAAUUUAUCCAUGCAAUGUUUUGACGAGAGAGCGACACAUGAGCAUGUUAAGAGGGAUUUAUUUAUUUAUUUUUAAAUAAAAAUGUUUUGUGGGCAAUUAUGCUUAAUCAUUGUUUCUUAAUGACCAUAUUUUAAUUGCUCUUUGCUCAUUUUUUAGGUAGAGGGUUUAUGUUUUUGACUAUUUGCCCACAAAUAAAGAAUGUGCAUUUCAUCAUGAGAAUUCAAACACACUUUGAGGUGUGUUUUGAAAUUUGGUUUUGUAUUGAAAUCGAAACUCUAAACAAAUAAAGGACGUCUUUCGUUUUUUUUU